This is a non-coding RNA of Pimephales promelas (fathead minnow), 6345 nucleotides long. NCBI's taxonomy places the organism in Eukaryota, Metazoa, Chordata, Actinopteri, Cypriniformes, Leuciscidae. The record is from RefSeq and is a predicted model, not a curated record.
CGGCCCCCAUCGCUGUGGACUUCUCGGUGCCGUACCCAAUGACUUACUUUCAGACCCGCAAUCCCAUCCAGAACAUAGUUACCAACUCCCUUUUCCAAGAGGUCUACGUGGCCUCUCAGAACGUCAUCGAGGCCGUGAACAUCACUCUAGGGAAACUGUGGGAACUCCGUACGGGACCGGUUGCCAGUCCGGAGUGUGAGAUAUGCAAUUUGUGUGAUAUCGCAAGAGAUCCCUUCCAAGAGGACACAGACAAUGAGGUGUUGCUCCUAGACACGUUCCUGAUGUACUUGUACUCGUGUGGAAGUUCCCAGUAUGGAGUUUGCUUUUUCCAUCAACUCCAUGAAAAUGGAAAGCCUCCUGGGCCUUCGAAGUGUUUAUUCCGGAAGAAGUUCAACUCUCCGCACUUCUGUCCGGAUUGCAUCGCUAGUCCUUUGGGAACUAAAGUCUCCAUGGUGGAAGAGGGUCAAACGGUUUACUUCUUUGUCGCGGCAACAGUGAACAGCAGCGUGACUCAAAAAUACGGUCGCAUGUCCAUUUCCGUACGCCGACCAGUUGCGACCGAGGAUGGUUUUUACACCGACGUCAGAGGGUUGACGGUUUUGCCUGCUCUAUGGCAAACAUACAGCAUUGAGUACAUCUACAGUUUCUACACGCAGGACUUUGUCUACUUCUUGUCUGUCCAACGAGAGAGAACCGACAUAGACACUUCGCCCUUUCAAACAAGACUAGGCCGUCUACCACGCCACGAGUGGGAGAUGCGACGGUAUCGUGAAAUUGUUUUAGAGUGUCGUUUUGAGCCCAAACGGCGACGGAGAAGCAAUGUCAGCGAACCUUUCAAAGACGUGGUCUACAACGUGGUUCAAGCGGCCCAUUUUGGGAAGGCUGGGCGGGAGCUCGCGGAUGAGCUGGGUGCUGAAGAAGAGGAUGAUAUCUUAUAUGGUGUGUUCGCUGUAACUGAUGACUCGGGUGUUCCUGAAGAUGACUCGGCACUUUGUGCAUUUCCGAUGGAUACAGUAAACACAGCAAUAGAUGACGGAGUGGAGGACUGUUGCAAGUCGGGACCAGAACAGCUUUCCAGAGGCCUUUGCCAUUUUCAGCCCUGUGAGAGCUGCCCACACGAGAGCAUGGAGCACAAUAUGACCUGCAGAGAUCAGCCCACCCUGGUGUCUCAGCCGUACUACAGAGUAGACCUCUUCAACAGACAGAUGAGAGGCGUUCUGCUCACUUCUAUACUGGUCACCAGCAUCGAGAACAAGACAGUGGCUCAUAUAGGCACAUCAGAUGGGAGACUCCUGCAGCUUGUCCUGAGAAGGUCCAGCCCGGUCAUCUUUGCCAAUUACUCCCUUGUAGAGAACCAGAAGGUGUCGUCUACCGCAGCGGUUCUUUCCCCAGACCAUUUACUGUUUGUUGUUGGAGAUAAGAUGAUUCAGGUGCCUCAGAGAGGUCCAGGUUGCCGACACUUCCUCACAUGUGCCAUGUGCCUGACCGCACCAACGUUCAUGGGGUGUGGCUGGUGCUCGGGUCAGUGCACCUGGGCUUCGGAGUGCAGGGGAUACUGGGGAAAUGAGUCAUGUCCGCCUGGCAUCACAGAGUUUUUCCCCAAGACAGCACCCCCUGAUGGUCAGAGUGAGAUGACUCUGUGUGGAUGGGAGUUCCAGUCGCCCCUGCGACCCGCCAUCACGACCAGAACCCAUGAGGUGAAGCUGGGUGAGACCGCCUGUGUGGUCCAGCCUCACAGAAGCAACAACACACACUUAUUGUGUAAGAUCCGCUCUGGGACGUCAGAGCCACUUUUUAAACCAUUGAACGUCACAGCAAAAGUGCACGAGGGACGAGCGGAGGGCCGCUACUCUAUUGAAGGAAGUGCAGAAAUGCCUGGAUUCACCUUUGUGGUUCCAAACAUCACUGAGGUUCAACCUGACUAUGGGCCGGUGGACGGAGGAACCCUCAUCACCAUCACAGGUCCUUAUCUGGACUCUGGCAAAAACAGGAAAGUUACACUUGAUGGAGAAACAUGUCCAAUCCGAAGUGUCUCUGUGGCCAGAGGAAACCUGUCCUCCAUCGUAUGUGUCUCUCAGCCUGUGACGGAGGUGAAGGACGUGGUGCUCCGUGUCUACAUCGAUAAGUCCCGUGUUGUGACCACUAACGUCUUCCGCUACAAAAAGACCCCUGAGAUCCUUUCGGUGCUGCCCGAUUGCAGCUUUGACAGUGGGUCAAGAAUCGUCAUUGAAGGCCGAAAUCUGGACUCUGUCUACAAAACUGUUGUCUACUUUAAACCCAAAGAAAGCCACCUCAAGCCUGUUUCCAUUGAGUGCAGGGGUAAAGCAAAACCCACCCGAAUGGAGUGCAUCACCCCCGUCUUCCAUCGAGAUGAGACCGAAGAGGGCGAGCUCUCGUUUGACAUGGACGGAGUGCUUGGCCUGUGGAAACAAGACUUCUCCUACCACCCCUAUGGCAGACCCAUCCCGUUUGAGACUGAAGGUCACAUACUGAGACUCUACCCUGGGUUUGAUGAAGUGUCCUUGCAUCAUCAGAAGUUGAACCUUGUGAGUUCUUGCAUGUCAAUCACGAUGACGGUUGGAGACGUUGACUGUGGCGCUAAAGUUCUAGAUAAUGAGAUCACAUGCAGGAUCCCUAAUAAUAUCACUAUUCCCAGUGAGGGUUUACCUGUGAAGGUAACAGUUAAUGGGUACACACAUAAUGUUGGCACUGUAAUCUUGGUCAGUAACCACUAUAUGGUGGGUAUUGUCCUUGGCAUACUGGCAGCUCUGGUCACGGGUGCGGUUAUGGCCUUCAUUGUGUUGAAACAUCUGAGGAAGCAGAAAAAAGCUUCGCUGGCAGAAAGUCGUCUGUCUUAUUUUUCCCACAGUCGUUCGCGUAAUAAUAGUGUGGAUUUAAGUCCCUUAGGAGACUACAGACGUGAACUGCCCGUCACAACCAUCAUUGCACCCGCUGGGGUCGUGGCGUUCCCAAGCCUGGCCUACACAGGCACCCUGGACACAACCCUGACCCCUCUAAUGCCCCCAGAGAAGAUCUCCAUCACCAGUUUCCGCCCUGAGCUUCUGGAGGAGGUGAAGGACGUGCUGAUCCCAGCUUCCAUGCUCAAGGUUCACCACCACCAGAUCAUCGGGAAGGGACACUUCGGCACAGUUUACCAUGGUUACCUCACUGACCACAACAACAGAGAAAUCCAUUGUGCUGUAAAAUCUCUCAACAGAAUAACAGAUGUGGAAGAAGUGGAGCAGUUUCUGAAAGAGGGCAUUCUGAUGAAGGGAUUUCAUCACAGUAAUGUUCUCUCUCUUCUGGGUAUCCUGCUUCCCGAAGAGGGACUUCCAUUGGUGGUCUUACCUUACAUGAAACACGGAGACUUGCGUCACUUCAUUCGCUGUGAAAAGAGGAAUCCCACAGUUAAGGAUUUGAUUGGCUUUGGACUCCAGGUUGCUAAAGGAAUGGAGUAUCUGGCACAAAAGAAAUUCGUUCACCGGGAUCUAGCAGCACGCAAUUGCAUGCUUGAUGAAUCCUACACCGUAAAGGUAGCAGACUUUGGAAUGGCUCGAGAUGUGCUUGAGAAGGAGUACUACAGCGUCCAGGAUCACAGGAAAGCCAAAUUACCCGUUAAAUGGAUGGCCAUUGAGAGCCUGCAGACGCAGAAGUUCACGACCAAGUCAGAUGUGGUGAGAUAUGAAAAUGAAAUAUGCUUACUGGAUUACAGUAAGUAUGUCUCAACUUUUUAUUCUGUCUUUGACUGCAGUGGUCUUUUGGGGUCCUGAUGUGGGAGAUGCUCACACGAGGAGCCAGCCCGUACCCUGAAGUUGACCCGUAUGAUAUCACACAUUACCUCUUAAAGGGACGACGGCUGCCUCAGCCACAGUAUUGUCCAGGUCCCCUGUUUGCCAUUAUGCUACAGUGUUGGGACCCCGACCCUGAGAAGAGACCAACCUUCUCCACACUAGUGUCCGCUGUAAUGAGUAUCCUGUCCAGCCUGGAGGGGGAACACUACAUCAGCCUGAAGGUCACAUACGUCAAUCUGGACCAGCCCCGGCCCUACCCCGCUCUAACAGACUCUGCCGAUGAAUAUGAUUCGUCAGAUGCAGAUGAUGCAGGCUCAGUCUCUAGCUGAUUGGCUAACUGGUUUGAUACUCACUAAAAAGGGAGUCUUUUUGCUGACAAGGCAGUAGGUGUGUUUGACUUGAAGUGGUGCUGCGCAGACUGAUCGGUGUAUGACAUCAAAGUACCGCAAAAGCAUAUAAACACACUAAACCUAAUGACUGUGCUUUAAAGAGGGAGGCAUACGCAAAAAAAAGUUGCAGUUGAAUUAGUAGUGUGUUGAAACGUGCGGAUAUGCUAAGGGUUGUGACAUUUACGAAACGUGCCCGAAGCAGUUGACCAAUCACACUGGUCCAGCCGACCAAUCAGCCACAUUGUUCUUUUCGUAAGGAGGGAGGAACUAAACAGAGCAUUACUGACAUACUGCCCCUAUUAGGCUUUUAUAAUUCAAUAUUUUAUAAUGUAGCCUAUGCAUGGAAGAGUUGGAUGACCUCAUACAAAGUUCUGUAAUGAACCUCUAGACCAGCCCAACCCUGCUCCUGCUGAUCAACUGUCCUGCGCAGUUCAUCUCCAACCCAAAUCAAACACACCUGCCUUUCAUUUUCAAGCAAUCCCGAAGACCUUAAUUGGUUGCUUCAGGUGUGUUUGAUUAGAAUUGGAGAUAAACUGUGGACAGGACAGUCGAUCGGCAGGAGCAGGGUUGGGCACACUUGCUCCAGAUGGUGCAGACUUUCAAUCAUAUCCUUCUCUUUAGGGCACAUCUGAUUGGUUCCUGCUGUAUCUGUAGCCAAUGAGCUUACUUGCCUUCAAAUACCUUCAAAUACUUGGUUAGCGAUUGCCUUAGCAGCGCAGCACACUUUCAGAAACCCUCCAUCUUCCCCAGCUCCACCUGUCUAGAUCUGCUACGGGUAAGUCAUGUACAGCAGCAGUAUGUCUUACAUACAUGUAUGUAUUGUCCAAUUGUAUAUAGCGGUGUAGCAGAUCUAUUCCACCAAGACCACAUAUCAACAUCGUCAUAGCCAUUACAAAAUGUUAUCAAACUAAGUUACAUUUAUGUGUAGUUCAUAUCAUAUGACGUUAUUUUUGCAUAUAACAAAGCAAAACGCUCGCCAUAGAGCCAAAAUACUGUAUGUAUGUUAGUAUACUUCUGGCCUUGUACUGUAUGUGCAGUAUUGUUAAUGAAGCUUUUGAAAUCAAGUCAGCAAUGACCGUAACAGCACUUAACACAUUUGUUUCACACUCAAGCACUGUCCUCACUAGAAUUCAUUUCAGUUGUAGAGGAUGUUUAUUUUAUUUAUGAGACAACUACAUUUUAUGUGAAUAAUUUUCAGUAUUUUCCUAUGUACAUAUAGGUCUAUAUCUGCACCACUUCAUUUUAAAGAUAGGCUGUAAUCAGUGGGCCUUAACUUGAUGUUUGGUUUGUGAUUAUAUCAGAUGCUUGUACAGAAAAGGGAUUGAGUGCACAAUGUUUGGGAUGAGUCAGCACUGAAAGGUGUUGAACUGAAUAUAUCACCGUGCUGCAGUUAUAGAGCCUGUAGAAACGAGUGAGAAUUUGACAUCUAUGACGCACAUCUCUAAAUAAAAUCCAAUUUUGCCAAAGGUGCCAGGGAUUAGUGUAUACUUGAGUUAUCUUGGGUAAUACUUUUGUUUGAAUGUUUUUUCAAAGAACGUACUUUGAUUAAAUAGUUAUUGGCAUAUUUAAACCAAAAAUGCUUUUAUACAUUGUAUAUUAAAAAGGAUUUUGUUCUGAUGUAAUGACAAGGGGUCUAUACAUUGUACAAUUUUUUGUCUGGCCAGGAUGUUUUUUGGAAGACCCUGAUAUAAUGUGCAUCUUUGAAUAUUAAAGUGGGGUACAAAAAAUAUAUUAAAAUCAUAAAAGGGAACCCACUGUACCUUUGAGCUUGUGCUAGAAUUGAACACUAGGGGUCAGUAAAAGCCUUUUCGUGAUGGAGCAAAUAUUAAAUGGGAUGCGCUUUUCUCAGUUUGCAGCAAAAUGAACAAAACAAAAAACGAAUUAUGAUUCCCUCAUAUAAUUAUGCAGUUUACAGUCCACUAAUCAUUUUUAAAGCAAUGUGAAUUAUUUUUUUUUUUUUGAGAGAGAGAGAGAAGAAUGUGAGUCAUUCAAUAUCACUGUAUGGUAGUUUUAUAUGAUUCCUACACUGUCUGUUUGUUAUACAUAUCCUUUAUUCACUUUUAAUGCACCGACUAUAAAACCUGCAAUACUGAAUUGACUGUACAAUUGCAAAACUUGUUGGCCGACAGUGUCAGACAGAAGCAUGCAGAGAAUUAAAAGAGAGA